Molecule: ribosomal RNA, 636 nt
Filed under: Triodontella sp. DA0497
Lineage: Eukaryota; Metazoa; Arthropoda; Insecta; Coleoptera; Scarabaeidae
Description: eukaryotic LSU rRNA
Rfam family: Eukaryotic large subunit ribosomal RNA
Source: RNAcentral
GGACCAAGGAGUCUAGCAUGUGCGCGAGUCAUUGGGACUCUAUCGAAACCUAAAGGCGCAAUGAAAGUAAAGGUCCUGCAUGCGCGGACCGAGGGAGGAUGGACGGUCUCGAGCGACCGUCUCGCACUCCCGGGGCGUCUCGUUCUCAUCGCGAGAAGAGGCGCACCCAGAGCGUACACGCUGGGACCCGAAAGAUGGUGAACUAUGCCUGGUCAGGACGAAGUCAGGGGAAACCCUGAUGGAGGUCCGUAGCGAUUCUGACGUGCAAAUCGAUCGUCGGAACUGGGUAUAGGGGCGAAAGACUAAUCGAACCAUCUAGUAGCUGGUUCCCUCCGAAGUUUCCCUCAGGAUAGCUGGCGCUCGCUUCUCGCGAGUCUCAUUCGGUAAAGCGAAUGAUUAGAGGCAUUGGGGUCGAAACGGCCUCAACCUAUUCUCAAACUUUAAAUGGGUGAGAUCUCCGGCUUGCUUGAACUAUGAAGCCGCGAGAUAUCGGAUCAGAGUGCCAAGUGGGCCACUUUUGGUAAGCAGAACUGGCGCUGUGGGAUGAACCAAACGCUGAGUUAAAGCGCCUAAAUCGACGCUUAUGGGAUACCAUGAAAGGCGUUGGUAACUUAAGACAGCAGGACGGUGGCCAUG